This 254-nucleotide ribosomal RNA is filed under the name uncultured bacterium. RNAcentral's name for it is "partial 16S ribosomal RNA". It matches the Rfam family "Bacterial small subunit ribosomal RNA", at positions 526 to 779 of the family's 1533-position model. The record is from RNAcentral.
CGUAGGGUGCAAGCGUUGUCCGGAAUUAUUGGGCGUAAAGAGCUCGUAGGCGGUCUGUCGCGUCUGCUGUGAAAACUCGAGGCUUAACCUCGGGCUUGCAGUGGGUACGGGCAGACUAGAGUGCAGUAGGGGAGACUGGAAUUCCUGGUGUAGCGGUGAAAUGCGCAGAUAUCAGGAGGAACACCGGUGGCGAAGGCGGGUCUCUGGGCUGUAACUGACGCUGAGGAGCGAAAGCAGUGGGAGCGAACAGGAUU